RNAcentral lists this ribosomal RNA (497 nucleotides) under uncultured bacterium. Its description in RNAcentral is "partial 16S ribosomal RNA". It matches the Rfam family "Bacterial small subunit ribosomal RNA", at positions 28 to 507 of the family's 1533-position model. The record is from RNAcentral.
GAUGAACGCUGGCGGCGUGCCUAAUACAUGCAAGUCGAACGCUGAAGGAAGGAGCUUGCUCUUUCCGGAUGAGUUGCGAACGGGUGAGUAACGCGUAGGUAACCUGCCUGGUAGCGGGGGAUAACUAUUGGAAACGAUAGCUAAUACCGCAUAACAGUAGAUGUUGCAUGACAACUAUUUGAAAGGGGCAAUUGCUCCACUACCGGAUGGACCUGCGUUGUAUUAGCUAGUUGGUGAGGUAACGGCUCACCAAGGCGACGAUACAUAGCCGACCUGAGAGGGUGAUCGGCCACACUGGGACUGAGACACGGCCCAGACUCCUACGGGAGGCAGCAGGAGGGAAUCGUCGGCAAUGGACGGAAGUCUGACCGAGCAACGCCGCGUGAGGGAAGAAGGUUUUCGGAUCGUAAAGCUCUGUUGUAAGAGAAGAACGAGUGUGAGAGUGGAAAGUUCACACUGUGACGGUAUCUUACCAGAAAGGGACGGCUAACUACGUG